UACACGACCGUACCGCAAACCGACACUGGUGCGCGAGAUGAGUAUUCUAAGGCGCUUGAGAGAACUCAGGAGAAGGAACUCGGCAAAUUGACACCGUAACUUCGGAAGAAGGUGUGCCUUUAGUAGGUGAACCAUUUACUUGGGGAGCCCAAUGAGGCUGCAAAAAAUCGGUGGCUGCAACUGUUUAUUAAAAACACAGCACUCUGCUAAGACGAAAGUCGACGUAUAGGGUGUGACGCCUGCCCGGUGCUGGAAGAUUAAAUGAUGGGGUGCAAGCUCUUGAUUGAAGUCCCAGUAAACGGCGGCCGUAACAAUAACGGUCCUAAGGUAGCGAAAUUCCUUGUCGGGUAAGUUCCGACCUGCACGAAUGGCGUAAUGAUGGCCACACUGUCUCCUCCUGAGACUCAGCGAAGUUGAAAUGUUUGUGAUGAUGCAAUCUCCCCGCGGAAAGACGGAAAGACCCCAUGAACCUUUACUGUAGCUUUGUAUUGGACUUUGAACAGAUCUGUGUAGGAUAGGUGGGAGGCUUUGAAGUGUGGUCGCUAGAUCGCAUGGAGCCAACGUUAAAAUACCACCCUGGUGUGUUUGAGGUUCUAACCUAGGUCCAUUAUCUGGAUCGGGGACAGUGCAUGGUAGGCAGUUUGACUGGGGCGGUCUCCUCCCAAAGUGUAACGGAGGAGUUCGAAGGUACGCUAGGUACGGUCGGACAUCAUGCUAAUAGUGCAAUGGCAUAAGCGUGCUUAACUGCGAGACUGACAAGUCGAGCAGAUGCGAAAGCAGGACAUAGUGAUCCGGUGGUUCUGUAUGGAAGGGCCAUGGCUCAACGGAUAAAAGGUACUCUGGGGAUAACAGGCUGAUACCGCCCAAGAGUUCAUAUCGACGGCGGUGUUUGGCACCUCGAUGUCGGCUCAUCUCAUCCUGGGGCUGUAGCCGGUCCCAAGGGUAUGGCUGUUCGCCAUUUAAAGAGGUACGUGAGCUGGGUUUAAAACGUCGUGAGACAGUUUGGUCCCUAUCUUCCGUGGGCGCUGCAGAUUUGAGGAAGCCUGCUCCUAGUACGAGAGGACCGGAGUGGACGAACCUCUGGUGUAUCGGUUGUCACGCCAGUGGCAUUGCCGAGUAGCUAAGUUCGGAAGAGAUAACCGCUGAAAGCAUCUAAGCGGGAAACUCGUUUCAAGAUUAGAUCUGCCGGGGCCUUGAGCCCCCUAAAGAGUCGUUCAAGACCAGGACGUUGAUAGGUCAGGUGUGGAAGCGAAAAAAAU
RNAcentral lists this ribosomal RNA (1259 nucleotides) under metagenome. RNAcentral's name for it is "bacterial LSU rRNA". It matches the Rfam family "Bacterial large subunit ribosomal RNA", at positions 1635 to 2883 of the family's 2925-position model. The record is from RNAcentral.